RNAcentral lists this ribosomal RNA (453 nucleotides) under uncultured Prevotella sp. RNAcentral describes it as "partial 16S ribosomal RNA". It matches the Rfam family "Bacterial small subunit ribosomal RNA", at positions 342 to 792 of the family's 1533-position model. Lineage: Bacteria; Pseudomonadati; Bacteroidota; Bacteroidia; Bacteroidales; Prevotellaceae. The record is from RNAcentral.
CGGAAGGCAGCAGUGAGGAAUAUUGGUCAAUGGACGAGAGUCUGAACCAGCCAAGUAGCGUGCAGGAUGACGGCCCUAUGGGUUGUAAACUGCUUUUGUACGGGAAUAAAGUGACCUACGUGUAGGUUUUUGCAUGUACCGUAAGAAUAAGGACCGGCUAAUUCCGUGCCAGCAGCCGCGGUAAUACGGAAGGUCCGGGCGUUAUCCGGAUUUAUUGGGUUUAAAGGGAGCGUAGGCCGUGCUUUAAGCGUGUUGUGAAAUGUAGGCGCCCAACGUCUGCACUGCAGCGCGAACUGGAGCACUUGAGUACGCAGGAAGUAGGCGGAAUUCGUCGUGUAGCGGUGAAAUGCUUAGAUAUGACGAAGAACUCCGAUUGGGAAGCCAGCUCACUGUAGCGCCACUGACGCUGAUGCUCGAAAGCGUGGGUAUCGAACAGGAUUAGAUACCCUGGUA